RNAcentral lists this ribosomal RNA (253 nucleotides) under uncultured bacterium. Its description in RNAcentral is "partial 16S ribosomal RNA". It matches the Rfam family "Bacterial small subunit ribosomal RNA", at positions 524 to 776 of the family's 1533-position model. The record is from RNAcentral.
UACGUAGGGUGCAAGCGUUGUCCGGAUUUAUUGGGCGUAAAGAGCGUGUAGGCGGCUAUGCAGGUCCGCUGUGAAAACUCGAGGCUCAACCUCGAGACGUCGGUGGAAACCGCAUGGCUAGAGUCCGGAAGAGGAGAGUGGAAUUCCCGGUGUAGCGGUGAAAUGCGCAGAUAUCGGGAAGAACACCCGUGGCGAAGGCGGCUCUCUGGGACGGUACUGACGCUGAGGAGCGAAAGCGUGGGGAGCGAACAGG